GAUGAAGAACGUAGUGAAAUGCGAUAAGUAAUGUGAAUUGCAGAAUUCAGUGAAUCAUCGAAUCUUUGAACGCACAUUGCGCCCGUCAGUAUUCUGGCGGGCAUGCCUGUUCGAGCGUCAUUACGCCCCUCAAGUCCCCUGUGGACUUGGUGUUGGGGAUCGGCGAGGCUGGUUUUCCAGCACAGCCGUCCCUUAAAUUAAUUGGCGGUCUCGCCGUGGCCCUCCUCUGCGCAGUAGUAAAACACUCGCAACAGGAGCCCGGCGCGGUCCACUGCCGUAAAACCCCCCAACUUUUUAUAGUUGACCUCGAAUCAGGUAGGACUACCCGCUGAACUUAAGCAUAUCAAUAAGGGAGGA
Molecule: unclassified non-coding RNA, 357 nt
Filed under: soil metagenome
Description: partial contains 5.8S ribosomal RNA, internal transcribed spacer 2, and large subunit ribosomal RNA
Rfam family: 5.8S ribosomal RNA (bases 1-120)
Source: RNAcentral